Molecule: long non-coding RNA, 1004 nt
Organism: Cicer arietinum (chickpea)
Lineage: Eukaryota; Viridiplantae; Streptophyta; Magnoliopsida; Fabales; Fabaceae
Source: RefSeq, a predicted model, not a curated record
UUUGUUUUUUGUGGACCUCAGCCAAAGGGCCUCAUGGCGCCUUUUUUGUUUUCAUUUUUUCACAACAUGGGCAUAAUCUUAAGUCGUUUACACAUGGAACCCUAAAUCAAAGCAGCGUCGUCUAUUUCCUCCUCCGCUCAUUUGGUUCUGACCACCGUCACGGUUGGUUCUCAUUCUCUUCAUCAUUGAAUUUUAUUCAGGCCACCGUCAUAGUUGAUUUUCUGACGUCUCUUACUUUAUUGUUGUCAUUUGGGGGUUACUGGUGUUGAAGUCAUUUACCCAUCAAGGGUUUUAAAACUUUUUAGAAUCAACCUACAUCUAACAAUAGGAAGAGUGAAUUAGAUGCAUAUCUUGAAGAAAAGUCAAUUGAAGUUGAUGAAGAACACUAUGAAGAUUUUAAGGUACUUCUUUACUGGAAGGUUAAUGAGAAAAAAGUAUCAUGUACUCUCCUUAAUGGCACGAGAUGUGCUAAGUAUUCUUAUCACUACAGUAGCAUUAGGGUGUUCUUUUAGUAUUGGUGCAUGUGUUCUCACCAAAUACAAAAGUUUCACUCUUCCUGAUCACAUCCAAAUGUUGAUUUGCACUCGAAAUUGGUUACCUGGAUUUUCUGAAAAUUUGAAUGAUGAGGAUGAAUACAAUGAUUCUAUUUGUGAGGAUGAAUCUAAUAAUACUAUCCUUGACUCAUGAGCGUUUGGAUGGAAAGGCACUUCUCCAUUUCAAUUGGUUUUAUUUGUUAGAUGUGUCUACAAAGCCUAUUGGCUCUUGCUCUUUAUAAUAGACGUUUGCAUGAUUAAUUGUUAUAUUUGAAACUGUUUGUCCAUAUAUACCUUUGAAUGUUUGUUAUGUUUUUAUCCAUCACUUUGGUGACAUAGUAUUAUUGUAUGAGAAUCCAUAAAUCAACUAGUGAUGGUGAGUUUAUUUGUUUGUAUAAUUCCCCUCGUAAACACUAAAACAUACUAUUUUGUCUAGUGAAAACUCAAACUUGUAUGGAGUAUUUGUUGUCA